UCCCCGCCCCGGUGAGAAUGCCCUCUAUAUCUUCUCAGAUCAAAAGGUGCAGGCAUCAAGUUCACUCAUUCUACCGUAGCUCAUAACGCCUUGCUUAACCACACCCCCACGGGACACAGCAGUAAUUAAAAUUAAGCAAUGAACGAAAGUUCGACUAAGUCAAACUAAGAUUAGGGUUGGUAAAUUUCGUGCCAGCCACCGCGGUCAUACGAUUAACCCAAGUUAAUAAAGCACGGCGUAAAGCGUGAUUUAAGACUAAAUCAAUACUAAGCUGUAAAAAGCCCUAGUAUAAAUAAAAUAAAACACGAAAGUAGUCUUAAAAUUUCUGAAUUCACGAUAGCUAAGACCCAAACUGGGAUUAGAUACCCCACUAUGCUUAGCCUUAAACACAAAUACUUAAUAAACAAGAGUAUUCGCCAGAGAACUACUAGCAACAGCCUAAAACUCAAAGGACUUGGCGGUACUUUACAUCCCUCUAGAGGAGCCUGUUCUAUAAUCGAUAAACCCCGAUAAACCUCACCACCUUUUGCAAUCUCAGUCUAUAUACCGCCAUCUUCAGCAAACCCUAACAAGGCCUCACAGUAAGCACAAGAAUUUUACAUUAAUACGUUAGGUCAAGGUGUAACCUAUAAGGUGGGAAGAAAUGGGCUACAUUUUCUAUUAACUAGAACACUUACGAUAACUUUCAUGAAACCUUGAAAGUCAAAGGCGGAUUU
RNAcentral lists this ribosomal RNA (716 nucleotides) under Tamias striatus (eastern chipmunk). RNAcentral's name for it is "partial 12S ribosomal RNA". It matches the Rfam family "Bacterial small subunit ribosomal RNA", at positions 302 to 1333 of the family's 1533-position model. Lineage: Eukaryota; Metazoa; Chordata; Mammalia; Rodentia; Sciuridae. The record is from RNAcentral.